This 1964-nucleotide long non-coding RNA is filed under the name Homo sapiens (human). RNAcentral's name for it is "HSALNT0089731". Lineage: Eukaryota; Metazoa; Chordata; Mammalia; Primates; Hominidae. The record is from RNAcentral.
UUACUUUCUUCAGUGACACUCUCCCUGACUGACCGUGCCGGCUCUGCCAAGUCACAGUGUUCUGUGGCCUUGCUCAUCAUAGCACAGCGCCUUCAUCUGAGCACUUCUUGCUUUGUUCCUAAGGGGAAGUCCCAAGAAGUUGGGGUCAGGGUCAGGAGAGAAAAAGGGAAUGGCUCACAGUCAUUAUAGAUUCCCGGUGGUGAAUGAUGACCACAGCCCUGGGACAGACGAAGCUCCCAUCCUAAAUACAGGCGUUAAUAGGGCUGAAAUGCACUGACACCCCGAAUCUUAGAUAUUGCCCAUCCUGAGCUCAGAGGACAUUUCCAGUCAGGAGAUAUUUAAUUAUACAUGCAGUUUGCAGGUUCAAAGGGGGCUGAAACCCCAGGCUGUCCAAACUGUGAAGAGGCCUAAAGAUCGAUUAGUCCAAUCUUCUCAUUUGUACUGGAGGGAACCGAGUCUCAGGGAGGUGGAAUGACUUGCGCAACCCUGCACAGAGGUAAAACAGAACAAAGACCAGAACAAGGCUCUGGGACCAGUGCUCCUUCCUCCAGACCAGGCUCCCCAGACCAGGCUAACCUCCUUGGCCAAAGCAAGGAAAACAAGCCCUGGCCCUUAGGCUUGUGAGAUUGGAGAGAAGACCUGAAGAAAAGCAAGACUAAAGGAGAAUCUUACACAGAGCUUCCAUGUGUCUACACCUUCAGGAAAAAGAACCUUCUAGAAUUAUUUUUAUUCCAGAAAGUAAAACAUCAACGUCAAUUUUGGAAUCUGUUUAGAAGCCCUAAAUUUUUCAAUGACUGUCCUCAAACUAGUCACCAGGUAAAAGAAUUUCACAAAGGCAACUGCUCAGAAAGGGUCUCAGAAACAUGACCCCUGCUCACCACAUACACACCCCACAGAGAGGGCCCUUGCUCUUCAGCCUUUACUUCAGUGAGAUGAGGUCUCUUUUUGAGCCCCUAAACUUCUACUUAGUGUUUUCUGCAUUGUUUCUUUUUGUUUUGUUUUGUUUUGUUUCGUUUGAGACAGAGUCUUGCUCUAUCUCCUAGGCUGGAGUGCAGUGGCACAAUCUUGGUUCACUGCAACCUCUGCCUCCCAGGUUCAAGAGAUUCUCCUGCCUCAGCCUCCUGAGUAGCUGAGAUUACAGGUGUGCACUGCCAUGCCUGGCUAAUUUUUUGUGUUUUUAGCUAAUUUUUUGUUUUUUGUGUUUUAGAGACGGGGUUUCAACAUAUUUCCCAGGCUGAUCUCAAACUCCUGACCUCAGGCAAUCCGCCUGCCUUGGCGUCCCCAAAGUGCUGGGAUUACAGGCAUGAGCCACUGUGCCCAGCUGGCAUUGUUUCUUGAAUGUUCAUGGAGGAUACUAAAUUUAUGUUAAAAAUGAAUAAGUUCAGAAAGUCCAUGGAAAGAAAUGUGUUUCUUUUGCUUUUUUUUUUUAAAUUUACCAUCUACAAAGUAGGUGAUGGGUGUUCAGUCUCUUCUAAAGAGUUGGCAAGUUUACCCCUUAAAAACUACAGACCACAGUGAGGAAUCCCCACUUUAACCCUAUAGUGGACCUCACACUGCAGUAUUAAGUAAAAUACUUCUUAAUGACUAUUCCAAUAAAUAUGCCAAUGUUUUCAGAUGGUCUUUAAAGAAACCCCUGGCCACUCCCAGUGUCUGUUCUGCACUCCCCAUCAGCACCAUGCACAGCAGUCCCUUGUUCUUCUGUCAGAGGGAAACUAGUACGAUAAGAGCCUUGUUUCUGAUAAGAAUAUCUGUCACUGACAAAAAAAAGGCAAUGUGUUUUUUAUUGAGCUGACCCCCCCACACACAAAAAGCAAUACACAAAAUUCAUUAAUUAUAAGCCAUCCUCUGUCUCAAGCGCACACACACAUUUGCAUUUUCAAAAGCUCCAUUCUGCCUAUUUGAAAAAGCUACAUUCUGGUUUUUCUGAGCUAGUGAGGAAAUAACUGCACCUAAAGGUACCGCCA